RNAcentral lists this ribosomal RNA (406 nucleotides) under uncultured bacterium. RNAcentral's name for it is "partial 16S ribosomal RNA". It matches the Rfam family "Bacterial small subunit ribosomal RNA", at positions 30 to 526 of the family's 1533-position model. The record is from RNAcentral.
ACUGAACGCUGGCGGCAGGCUUAACACAUGCAAGUCGAACGAGUGGCGGACGGGUGAGUAAUGCUUGGGAAUCUAGCUUAUGGAGGGGGAUAACUACGGGAAACUGUAGCUAAUACCGCGUACCAUAGGUUGAACCCAUAGGGGAUUAGCUAGUAGGUGGGGUAAAGGCUCACCUAGGCGACUCUCUCUAGCUGGUCUGAGAGGAGUAUCAGCCACACUGGGACUGAGAAACGGCACAGACUCCUACGGGAGGCAGCAGUGGGGAAUAUUGCACAAGGGGCGCAAGCCUGAUGCAGCCAUGCCGCGUGUAUGAAGAAGGCCUUAGGGUUGUAAAGUACUUUCAGCGGGGAGGCGUUACCCGCAGAAGAAGCACCGGCUAACUCCGUGCCAGCAGCCGCGGUAAUAC